AGCAGGCCGGAGGUUGUCCAGGCGUUGACGAGUUGACACUUUUUACUAAAUUCAAACCAUAUACGCACACGCUUCCCCCUUCGUUUCAUCGGAAUUUCCGACCAAGUAUAUUUUAUCGACAUUGGAUUCUGGAGGAUCUCCAAAGGGAAGAAUUUCCCUGACGGAACUAGAAGAUGAGCACCGAUCGAACUCGUUUGGCGACACAGCCGCGUUCCGGUCCCAGACCUAAUCCCCCACAUUCCGGUGACUAUGCUUUCUACCCUAAGCUCGGCCCAGACGACGUUGCUCCCCCUCCGAUUGAGAAAUGGGGCGACGUGCCAAUGGACCGCCAACAGCAAACGCAAGCACCGUUGGAGAAUCCAGUUCACGGUGUUUCCGGGGUUCCGAUCUCCGUGGACGCCGCCACCAUGAUGCAGCAGGAGUCUAGUCCCUACAUCUCUCCAGGGCCGGUGCCGCCACCGUCGUCCUCCGUCAAGAAUAAAAUGGACACGGUGAAAGAUGCGCUUGGGAAAUUCGGGAAGAAGGCGGCCGAGGCCACCAAGAAGGCUGAAAAUCUCGCUGGGAACAUGUGGCAGCACUUGAAAACCGGUCCUAGUGUUGCUGAUGCUGCUGUCGGAAGAAUUGCUCAGAGUACAAAAGUUCUUGCAGAAGGUGGUUAUGAGAAGAUUUUUCAACAAAGUUUCGAGACCGUGCCAGGGGAGAAGCUUCUAAAGACAUAUGCAUGCUAUCUAUCCACGUCUUCUGGACCAGUAAUGGGAACCGUAUAUCUGUCCACGGCAAAGCUGGCAUUCUGUAGUGAUAAUCCACUCUCUUACGAAGCUGGUGACCGGACAGAAUGGAGCUAUUAUAAGGUGGUUAUACCAUUACAUCAGCUGAGGGCAGUCAAUCCUUCAACAAGCAAUGUCAAGCCUGGGGAAAAAUAUAUACAGCUUAUCUCUGUUGACAACCAUGAAUUUUGGUUUAUGGGCUUUGUACACUACGACAGUGCGGUGAAAAAUCUUCAAGGAGCACUGCAGCCCCACAUCUUUUGAUGCACAAGGGCCAAAUUUUUGACCAUGUCGCAGAAGGACCAUUAUACAAGCUGUCUGUCUAUGUAGAUAAAAUAUCCUGCACAGAAUAUGGGAUAUCUGAGAUUAAAUUAUGUAUCUUUAUGCUGCUGGGUGUUCAUUGGUGUUGGAACUCAUUUAUUGUGAGCAUAGGUUCUGCUUUGGGACAUAUUUGGUGUGAUGGAAAGUCGGUACAAUCCCGAAUUGUUGCGGAUUCACAAUCGAAAAGAAUUUUGAGUUUUUUGUUGGAGCAUGGCGGGCUUAAGUUUCUUGACUGGAGCUGUUAUCGAAGAAAGGUGCAUGCUCUGAAUUGUAAUUCCAUCAUGUUGCUAUUGUAUUGACAAGCAAGAUGCGAUCGAGGCAGGAGUCGUCUUCGCUUUCACCAGCAAACAGUGCAUUAAUUUCAGAUGUUUACAUUGACGAACCUUAUUGGUACUAUAUGCCUUUUGCGAGCUCGAUGUUG
RNA transcript from Carya illinoinensis, 1509 nucleotides. It is a transcript of the gene named GEM-like protein 1, with no coding region annotated. The transcript has 5 exons. The record is from RefSeq and is a predicted model, not a curated record. Lineage: Eukaryota; Viridiplantae; Streptophyta; Magnoliopsida; Fagales; Juglandaceae.